GAUUGUUUUGGCAUUUUGCCUUUCUUAGUUGAUACUAAGUUGGCAAAUUAGCCAGCUACUUCAAUGGAGAGCUGACUAUGAGGGCAGUGCGGCUUUUGUGGAGAAAGUCUGCGUCGCCGGCACUGGCCUCCAGUUAUAGUCGAUAAGUCAGUUCUGCAAGGAAACCAGAAUGUAGUCGGUGUUGAGAUAGUUGAUCCUCUGACUUUUAUGGUG
RNAcentral lists this long non-coding RNA (213 nucleotides) under Elaeis guineensis (African oil palm). Its description in RNAcentral is "long non-coding RNA (EGUI_LNC019574)". Lineage: Eukaryota; Viridiplantae; Streptophyta; Magnoliopsida; Arecales; Arecaceae. The record is from RNAcentral.